CGCCGGCAGCCGCGGAAGCAGCAGUAGCCAGCGAGGGCGCGUCCCACACCGCGCACCACAAGCCGACACCGAGCACCAGACAACAGGAAUCUGGCCUUUGGUGGAGCCACUUUCUACUCUUUUAUGCAAGGAGUGGACAGAAUCUACAGGAAGUGCUCGCGUCAUCUGGAGAAACGGCUGUUCAGGCAAAAAGGAAGGGGAUGGCGGGUUGAGAUGGCGGCGAGUGCUUGGCUGGAGGCGGCGUGGGCGGCGGCGCUGCUGGUGCUAGCGCUUGCGGGGACGGCGGAGGCGGUGGGGGCGGAG
Long non-coding RNA from Schistocerca serialis cubense, 303 nucleotides. RefSeq lists it as uncharacterized. Lineage: Eukaryota; Metazoa; Arthropoda; Insecta; Orthoptera; Acrididae. The record is from RefSeq and is a predicted model, not a curated record. The transcript has 4 exons.